RNAcentral lists this unclassified non-coding RNA (380 nucleotides) under uncultured Gemmatimonadaceae bacterium. RNAcentral describes it as "contains 16S-23S intergenic spacer region". The record is from RNAcentral. Lineage: Bacteria; Pseudomonadati; Gemmatimonadota; Gemmatimonadia; Gemmatimonadales; Gemmatimonadaceae.
UCCGGUUUGGCACCGGCAGUCUUCCCAGAGUCCUCGGCACGACCCGGUAGCAACUGGGAACGGGGGUUGCGCUCGUUGCGGGACUUAACCCAACAUCUCACGACACGAGCUGACGACAGCCAUGCAGCACCUGUGCUGGGACUCCGAAGAGGGGCCUACGUUUCUGUAGGCUUUCCCCAGCAUGUCAAGCCCGGGUAAGGUUCUUCGCGUUGCGUCGAAUUAAACCACAUGCUCCACCGCUUGUGCGGGCCCCCGUCAAUUCCUUUGAGUUUCAGCCUUGCGGCCGUACUCCCCAGGCGGGGCACUUAAUGCGUUAGCGCCGGCACCCGGGGGGUCGCUCCCCCAGGCACCUAGUGCCCAUCGUUUACGGCGUGGACUAC